AGUCUCAUUCCACAUGAGACGGGCAUGGUUGACCAGUGGCUGAAUUGAGACACAGGUCAUCCAUCACAGUAAAGGCAUUUCAGUGGUGACAGUGAGACCUCUGACAAUU
RNAcentral lists this small nucleolar RNA (109 nucleotides) under Castor canadensis (American beaver). Its description in RNAcentral is "Small nucleolar RNA SNORA1 (ENSCCNG00000027159.1)". The record is from RNAcentral. Lineage: Eukaryota; Metazoa; Chordata; Mammalia; Rodentia; Castoridae.